Molecule: transfer RNA, 142 nt
Filed under: Planctomycetales bacterium
Lineage: Bacteria; Pseudomonadati; Planctomycetota; Planctomycetia; Planctomycetales
Description: tRNA-OTHER
Rfam family: tRNA
About the family: Transfer RNA (tRNA) molecules are approximately 80 nucleotides in length.
Source: RNAcentral
GGCGUCGUAGCUCAACGGUAGAGCGCCGUAAACCUCUGGUUCAACAACUUCGCCGGUCAUUGCCAAACCAUCCCGACUGAAAGCUGGAGUCCAUCACUUCCGUGAUCGCAAGAUCCUGUGGGUUCGAAUCCCACCGAUGCCG